RNAcentral lists this ribosomal RNA (433 nucleotides) under uncultured bacterium. RNAcentral describes it as "bacterial SSU rRNA". It matches the Rfam family "Bacterial small subunit ribosomal RNA", at positions 28 to 507 of the family's 1533-position model. The record is from RNAcentral.
GAUGAACGCUGGCGGCGUGCUUAACACAUGCAAGUCGAACGAACCUUCGGGUUAGUGGCGGACGGGUGAGUAACGCGUGAGAAUCUGCCCUCAGGAGGGGGACAACAGCUGGAAACGGCUGCUAAUACCCCAUAUGCCGCGAGGUGAAAUGAAUUUCGCCUGAGGAUGAGCUCGCGUCUGAUUAGCUAGUUGGUGUAGGUAAUGGCUCACCAAGGCAUCGAUCAGUAGCUGGUCUGAGAGGAUGAUCAGCCACACUGGGACUGAGACACGGCCCAGACUCCUACGGGAGGCAGCAGUGGGGAAUUUUCCGCAAUGGGCGAAAGCCUGACGGAGCAACGCCGCGUGAGGGAUGAAGGCCUCUGGGCUGGAAACCUCUUUUAUCAAGGAAGAAGAUCUGACGGUACUUGAUGAAUAAGCCACGGCUAAUUCCGUG